GCAUUGGUGGUUCAGUGGUAGAAUUCUCGCCUGCCAUGCAGGGGGCCUGGGUUCGAUUCCUGGCCAAUGCA
Molecule: non-coding RNA, 71 nt
Organism: Protopterus annectens (West African lungfish)
Lineage: Eukaryota; Metazoa; Chordata; Ceratodontiformes; Protopteridae
Source: the annotation of a RefSeq genome assembly